GACAGCAGAUCCCUCAGCUGGGUUUUUCCUUCCCCAUUGAUGAUUCCCAAUUUGUAGCAUUUGCUGGGAAAUUUCUCCAGCCAGGCUGAGUUCGCCCUCCAGCUCCCUAGGUGAGAUCAGUCACCACAUGGUCAGUUCUGCUCUGUCUGCUAGUCCAGGGAAGCUGCCUGCUGAGUGUGUGACUGGAGGCUGGGCUAGGAGGCUAAAGUUUGGAUGUUAGUGUAGUUGUAUAACCUACACCUUGAGCCCUGCACCCCUUUGUGGUGAAGGGAAAUCUUGGGACGGACACAGCCUGAUUCCUGCCUGAGGAGGAUUCCUGCCAGCAGACAGCAGCCCCUCUGCAGUGACUGAGGAGUCCAGCAUCAUCUUCGAACCUGAGGAUCAUUCAUGGAGUUUGUAAAAGGCUAAAGCUCAUCCAGGGAAUGAAGUCUCCUCUCUUCUUCAGAUGCACGUGGCUUCAAAAACACCCAGAAACAAACAAACAAAACAAACACAGAUCAUUAAGGAAUACAGAUCCUUGGGGACCCCGCUAUUUACCUCUCUCCAUUGUGAAAACUAUUUAUUUCCACUCUUUGUUUCCUAUCUUUUGACCAUGAGAAUACCUUCCCUCUUAUCCCAUGACUACUUAGGGUACGUCUACAGUACGAAAUUAAUUCAAACUUAUUCUAUUCGAAUUUUCAGAAGUAAUUUUAUACAUUCGGUGUUGUGUGUCCCCACUAAAGCGCGUGAAUUCGGCAGAGUGUCCACAGUACCGAGGCUAGCAUCGAAUGUCGGAGCGGUGCAAUCCCACAGUUCUCACAGUCCCGACGCCCAUUGGAAUUGUGGGUUAAGCUCCCAGUGCACUAUGGAGCAAAAACAUUCUCACGGGUGUUUCUGGGUGUGUGCCGUCAUUCGCUCCUCCCUCCGUGAAAGCUACGGCAGACGCCAUACUGCCAGUAGACGGUGCAGUACGGUGCACCGCCUGUCUCUAUGAAUCCACCCUCUCGUCUUUCUAUCUACCCUUUUAUCUAACCAUUUCCCGCCUUUUUUCGGCUACCGUGAACCAAGCAGCACAGCUUCUGCCGCAAACUCUGCUCUCCCGCUCUUGCAUGGCUAGCUAAUUUUUCCAUGUUGUCUGUCCUGGGCUCCCGUGGAAGCUACAGAAGGCAACAAUUCCCCGCCAUUUUUCGGCCAUCGUGAACUGAGCCGCACAGCUUCUGCCGCUUUUUCCAUGUUGUCGGUCCUGGGAUCCCGUGGAAGCUACAGACGGCAACAAUUCCCCGCCGUUUUUCAGCCAUCAUGAACUGAGCCGCACAGCUUCCACCGCUUAUUCCAUGUUGUUGGUCCUGGGAUCCCGUGGAAGCUACAGACGGCAACAAUUCCCCGCCGUUUUCCGGCCAUCGUGAACUGAGCCGCACAGCUUCUGCCGCAAACUCUGCUCUCCCGCUCUUGCAGCUCUCGCGAGCUUCCCGACUCCGUGAAAGCUACAGAAGACAACCAUUUACCGCCUUUUAUCAGCCAUCUUGAACCGAACAGCUCUCCUACGUUUCGCGCCCUUUUCCCAAGAUUACCCGUUCAGGCGCCAUAGCACGGCAAGCAUGGAGCCCGCUCAGAUCCCCGCUGCAGUUUUGACCAUUGUAAAUACCUUGUGCAUUAUCCAGCAGUAUGUGCAGUACCUGCAAAACCGGGCGAGGAAGCGACGACAGUGCGAUUACUAUACUGAUGAGGACAUGGAUACAGACAUUCCUAGAAGCACAGCAUGUGGCGAUUGGGAGAUCAUGGUGGCAUUGGGCCAGGUUCAUGCCGUGGAAUGCCGAUUCUGGGCCCGGGAAACAAGCACAGUCUGGUGGGACCACAUAGUGUUGCAGGUCUGGGAUGAUUCCCAGUGGCUGUGAAACUUUCGUAUGCGUAGGGCCACUUUCAUGGAACUUUGUGACUUGCUGUCCCUUGCUCUGAAGCAAAAAAGACACCAAAAUGAGAGCAGCCCUCACAGUUGAGAAGCGAGUGGCCAUAGCACUGUGGAAGCUUGCAACGCCCGACAGCUAAUUGCUGCUUGUUGUGUGCUCCACAAUAUCUGUGAGAGUAAGGGGGAGACGUUUAUGGCGGGGUGGGAGGUUGAGGCAACUCGCCUGGCGGCCAAUUUCGCACAGCCAGACAACAGGGCGAUUAGAAGAGCGCAGCAGGGCGCGCUGCGCAGCAGAGAACCUUUGAAAGCCAGUUUCAUGACUGGCCAGGGUACAGUGUGACAGUU
Malaclemys terrapin pileata is the source of this 2230-nucleotide long non-coding RNA. RefSeq lists it as uncharacterized. The transcript is spliced from 3 exons. NCBI's taxonomy places the organism in Eukaryota, Metazoa, Chordata, Testudines, Emydidae. The record is from RefSeq and is a predicted model, not a curated record.